CGACGUGGACAACCUGCCGCAUGCAGGGGGAUACCGGCUGGAAACAGCCGCUAAUACCGCAUAUGCGCACGGCGCCGCAUGGCGCAGUGCGGAAAGGGAGCAAUCCCGGCAUGCGAUGGGUCCGCGUCCGAUUAGCUUGUUGGCGGGGCAGCGGCCCACCAAGGCGACGAUCGGUAGCCGGCCUGAGAGGGCGGACGGCCACAUUGGGACUGAGACACGGCCCAGACUCCUACGGAAGGCAGCAG
This 245-nucleotide ribosomal RNA is filed under the name uncultured bacterium. RNAcentral describes it as "partial 16S ribosomal RNA". It matches the Rfam family "Bacterial small subunit ribosomal RNA", at positions 113 to 354 of the family's 1533-position model. The record is from RNAcentral.